UACGUAGGGACCGAGCGUUGUCCGGAAUCAUGGGGCGUAAAGAGCGUGUAGGCGGCUAUUUAAGUCCUGCGUGAAAUCCUGCGGCUCAACCGCAGACGGUCGUGGGAAACUGGAUGGCUAGAGUGCGGGAGAGGAGAGUGGAAUUCCCGGUGUAGCGGUGAAAUGCGCAGAUAUCGGGAAGAACACCCGUGGCGAAGGCGGCUCUCUGGAACGCAACUGACGCUGAGACGCGAAAGCGUGGGGAGCAAACAGG
This 253-nucleotide ribosomal RNA is filed under the name uncultured bacterium. Its description in RNAcentral is "partial 16S ribosomal RNA". It matches the Rfam family "Bacterial small subunit ribosomal RNA", at positions 524 to 776 of the family's 1533-position model. The record is from RNAcentral.